UCGUGCGCGUCGAAGCAGUGCCCCGUCGCGGCGUACGUCGCCUCCAUCGCCAGCAGCUCCGUUGAGACGUCGAAGUCGUGGUACUCCGUGUGGUUCGCCAUCCAGUCCUCGAGCGUGUCCAUCUUGGACGCGUCCUUGCCGAGGUAGUCCACGAUGUCCUUCGGGACGCCGCAGUUGGCGACGAGCGCGUCGCCGUCCUUCACGCCGCCGUGCUUCUCGAGCACCUUGCCGAACCCCGGCGGCAGCUCGCCGACGUCGCGGCACAGCUCCGGAGGCCCGGAGGAAUUGGACAUUUGCAUCGCCUCGACGUGGACGUCGUUCGCGGUGUGCUGGAGCGCCAUCGCGGCCGCCUCGAGCGCGCGCUUGUCGUCCGCCGCGGAUUGAAUCUCCGCGCUCUUCGCCGCGCGAACGGCGGCGAGCGCGGCGUCGACGACGCGCGUCGCCUCCUUGGUCGCCGCGCUCAUGAUCUUCUCCGCCUCGGCGAGCGCGGCGGCGAGCUUGGCUCGCGCGGCCGUCGUCGCCGCGACCGCGGCUUGGUGCUUCUCCUGCGCCUCUUUCGCGGCUUUCACGCGGUCAGCCAUGAAGUGGAAGUCGGGCGUCGUCCCGUCGCCUCCGGUCGUCGCGCCGGGGCCGUGGUUCAUCAUGGCGUGGAUGGCCUCUAUCCCCGGCGCGGCGUCGCCGUCGUCGUGGUCGUGGUCGUGGUCGUGGUCGUGGUCGUGGUCGUGGUCGUCGUCGCCGAGAUUCGCAUCCUUCGGCACCGCCGCUUGCUCGUGCCACUUGGACGCGUGCGUGAACGCCGCGGCGACGGCUUCCUCCGCCGCCUCCGCGGCGGUCGCGGCGUGAGACUCCGCCGCCUUCGCGGCGUCGAGCUCCGUUUGCGCGGCGUGGACGAUCUUCGUCGCGUUCGCCUUCGCCUCCAUUAUGAUCUUCUUCGCGCGUUGUCUCGCGGGGGCAACAUUCUCCUUCGCCGAGACGAGCGCCGCGUCCGCGGCUUCGUACGCCUUUUGCGCCGCGUCCGCGGCGGCGAUGUCUUGGGCCUCGUCGCGCUUGAGCUCGACGCCCGUCGCGCGCGCGACGUCGGCGGCGCUGAGCGUCGUCGCGUUGGCGUCGGCGGGCGCUUCGACCGGCGCCGGAGGGGCCGGCGUCGGCGUCUCCGUCGGCGUCUCCGUCGGCGUCUCCGCCGCGGGCGCUUCGUCGCCGCCGCCGUGGUUCUUCAACCUCGCGAAGAACCUCGUGCACGCCGCGGACGUGCACGCCGCCGUGUCGUCUUCGCACUUGACCGCCGCGUGUCCGUCGAUCUCGAGGAACUUGGCGCAGUCCGCCUCCUCGUCGGUGAGUCCCGGGAAGUGGAGUUUCGUGAACGCGCGCGGGUCCGUCGGCUCGUCGUCGUCGUGGUCGUGGUCGUGGUCGUGGUCGUGGUCGUGGUCGUUGUCGUGGUGAUCGUCGUGGUCGUCGUCGGAGACGUGGUCGUCCUCCUCGUGGCACUUGCCGGUCGCCUUCCACGCGCGCUCCAUCUCCUUGAGCUCCGUGCUCGCGUCGAAGUCGUGGUACGCCCUGUGGUUCGCCAUCCAGUCCCCGAGCGUGUCCAUCUUGGACGCGUCCUUGCCGAGGUAGUCCACGAUGUCCUUCGGGACGCCGCACUUUUCGAUGAAGCGGACGCCGUGAUCGAUGUCGCCGAUCUCCUCGAGCUUCGCGCCGAACCCGUCGGGGAGCAUCGCCGGCUCGCGCACGAGAGCGGGCAUGUGAUCGUCCGCGGGCACGGGCGCGGGCUCGGGCACGGGCGUGGGCACGGGUUCGACCAACGGCGCGGGCGCGGGCUCGGGCGCGGGCUCGGGCUCGUCCACGUCCACGUCCACGUCCGCGUCCGGGGCGGAGUCCAAGGGUUCCGCGGCGACGUCGUUGUCAUGAGUCGCGAGCUCGUCCAUGGAUUGCGUGGUGAGUUCGUCCGCCGCGGCCUCGGUGGCGUCCGGCGCGGGGGCCGGAUCCGUCUCCACGUCUGAGGUGGUCGUCUCCACGUCCGGGGUGGUCGUAUCCACGUCUGAGGUGGUCGUCUCCACGUCCGGGGUGGUCGUCUCCACGUCCGGGGUGGUCGUCUCCACGUCCGGGGUGGUCGUCUCCACGUCCGGGGUGGUCGUCUCCACGUCCGGGGUGGUCGUCUCCACGUCCGGGGUGGUCGUCUCCACGUCCGGGGUGGUCGUCUCCGCGACGACGUCCGGGGUGGUCGUCGUCGGGGGCAGAUCGCUCGUCAUCGCCGCCGCGAUCUGCGCGUCC
This 2271-nucleotide long non-coding RNA is filed under the name Micromonas pusilla. RNAcentral describes it as "long non-coding RNA (MPUS_LNC000063)". Lineage: Eukaryota; Viridiplantae; Chlorophyta; Mamiellophyceae; Mamiellales; Mamiellaceae. The record is from RNAcentral.